RNAcentral lists this ribosomal RNA (460 nucleotides) under uncultured bacterium. RNAcentral describes it as "partial 16S ribosomal RNA". It matches the Rfam family "Bacterial small subunit ribosomal RNA", at positions 338 to 795 of the family's 1533-position model. The record is from RNAcentral.
CCUACGGGGUGCAGCAGUGAGGAAUAUUGGUCAAUGGACGAGAGUCUGAACCAGCCAAGUAGCGUGAAGGAUGACUGCCCUAUGGGUUGUAAACUUCUUUUAUAUGGGAAUAAAACGUUCCACGUGUGGGAUUUUGUAUGUACAAUAUGAAUAAGGAUCGGCUAACUCCGUGCCAGCAGCCGCGGUAAUACGGAGGAUCCGAGGGUUAUCCGGAUUUAUUGGGUUUAAAGGGAGCGUAGGUGGAUUGUUAAGUCAGUUGUGAAAGUUUGCGGCUCAACCGUAAAAUUGCAGUUGAAACUGGCAGUCUUGAGUACAGUAGAGGUGGGCGGAAUUCGUGGUGUAGCGGUGAAAUGCUUAGAUAUCACGAAGAACUCCGAUUGCGAAGGCAGUUCACUGGACUGCAACUGACACUGAGGCUCGAAAGUGUGGGUAUCAAACAGGAUUAGAUACCCUUGUAGUC